CCGCAUCCUUGGGGAAUGAGUCCCAGCCCGUGCAAGGGGCCAGGGAAGAUUUUUGUCUGGGGAGAAGCAGGGACUGUAUCCCUGUGCAAUACUUUUGGUAUCUGGGGCCAAGGUACCCAGGUCACCGUCUCCCAAGCCUCCACCACGGCCCCAUCGGUGUUCCCACUGGCCCCCAGCUGCGGGACCACAUCUGGCGCCACCGUGGCCCUGGCCUGCCUGGUGUUAGGCUACUUCCCUGAGCCGGUGACCGUGUCCUGGAACUCCGGCGCCCUGACCAGCGGUGUGCACACCUUCCCGUCCGUCCUGCAGGCCUCGGGGCUCUACUCUCUCAGCAGCAUGGUGACAGUGCCCUCCAGCAGGUGGCUCAGUGAGACCUUCACCUGCAACGUGGCCCACCCGCCCAGCAACACCAAGGUGGACAAGACCGUGCCCAAAACCGAGCUCCCACCGAAACCCAAAUCCUGCGACUGUCCCAAAUGCCCACCUCCUGAGAUGCUUGGAGGACCGUCCAUAUUCAUCUUCCCCCCAAAACCCAAGGAUACCCUCUCGAUUUCCCGGACGCCGGAGGUCACGUGCUUGGUGGUGGACUUGGGCCCAGAUGACUCCGAUGUCCAGAUCACAUGGUUUGUGGAUAACACCCAGGUGUAUACAGCCAAGACGAGGCCACGUGAGGAGCAGUUCAACAGCACCUACCGUGUGGUCAGUGUCCUCCCCAUCCUACACCAGGACUGGCUCAAGGGGAAGAACUUCAAGUGCAAGGUGAACAGCAAAUCCCUCCCCUCCCCCAUCGAGAGGACCAUCUCCAAGGACAAAGGACAGCCCCAUGAGCCCCAGGUGUACGUCCUGCCUCCAGCCCAGGAGGAGCUCAGCAGGAACAAAGUCAGUGUGACCUGCCUGAUCGAAGGCUUCUACCCGCCUGACAUUGCCGUCGAGUGGGAGAUCACCGGACAGCCGGAGCCAGAGAACAACUACCGGACGACCCCGCCCCAGCUGGACAGCGACGGGACCUACUUCCUGUACAGCAGGCUCUCGGUGGACAGGUCCCGCUGGCAGAGGGGAAACACCUACACCUGCUCGGUGUCACACGAAGCUCUGCACAGCCACCACACACAGAAAUCCCUCACCCAGUCUCCGGAGCUGCUCCUGGACGACAGCUGUGCGGAGGACCAGGACGGGGAGCUGGAUGGGCUGUGGACCACCAUCUCCAUCUUCAUCACGCUCUUCCUGCUCAGCGUGUGCUACAGCGCCACUGUCACCCUCUUCAAGGUGAAGUGGAUCUUCUCCUCGGUGGUGGAGCUGAAGCGCACGAUCGCGCCCGACUACAGGAACAUGAUCGGGCAGGGGGCCUAGGGCCAGCCCGCCUGGGCAGGUGUCAGCGCUGCCCCAACCCUGCACAGGAUCCCGGUGCAUCAGCCUGCUGCCAGGCCUGCUCUCCCGCCCUCUGACCUCGCCACCCUCUGACCUCACAGCCACCCUGGGCCUGCGCCCUCGCCCUCUGGCCUCGCGGCCCCUGUGAGCUGCAUCCUGCGCCCUGACCCCCCCGUUCGGAGAAUCGCGUGGACGGCAGGUUGUGCCCCAACCUGAGCUGGUGGACGCCCGUUGGGCCCUCCACGGCGGCCGCCAGGCUACCGCUGUGGCCGCGCACGGUCAGCGGGCACGCUCAUCCUGGAGGAGGCGGGCGGCUGCGAUCCCAGUGUCUGUCUGGCAGGGACCGGCCUCUGUGCGAACCCCGUCCAGGCCAGGCUCCAGGACGCAGGGUUUCCCCAGAGCAGCCACGUCGGCCCAGAUCCUGAGGAAGCUUCCGACGUGUCACUAACGGUCAGUCAGAUCUUCUGCGCCAGAGGAGACCGCGCAGACAAGGGCCUGGGCCUGUGGCUGCUGCAGGAGCCCCGUGGAUGCCGGGGACAGAGUGACAUCCAGCCAGACAGGCCUCCUGCAGAGGGGUCUGGUGACCUGGUCCCCGGGCCAGUGGGACACAGCCUCGGUGGACACAGGUGGAAGGUGCCAGGAGGCCAGGGCGGCAGGCCCAGCCCGCCCCCCCCGUGGCCGGGGCCUGAGUCCCAACAGGCUCACACGGGGGGUGGGAGACAGAGACAAGCCCACGGCCGGGCGGACCCCCAGGACUGGCUCUCCGCCCUGGCUUUGGGUGGGUGCCAAGUCGGGGCCCCCACAUGGGAAGAGAUGACCACGCAGGGGAGGAGGAGCAGAGCCCCCAGCCCCAGGGACAGAGAGCCCGGGGGUCCCAUAUGGGAAAGCCACUGCCUAAGCUUGGAUAGCUUGUUUUAUUGUUUUAAAUGUCUGGAGCUCGUUGAUUUCCUUUAGCAUUUCUUUUUCUUUUCCUUUUUUUUUUUUUUUUUUUUAAUGACAAUAAAACAUCCUUAAAAACUCCAUAA
Non-coding RNA from Acinonyx jubatus (cheetah), 2393 nucleotides. The record is from the annotation of a RefSeq genome assembly. Lineage: Eukaryota; Metazoa; Chordata; Mammalia; Carnivora; Felidae.